This 338-nucleotide unclassified non-coding RNA is filed under the name soil metagenome. RNAcentral's name for it is "partial contains 5.8S ribosomal RNA, internal transcribed spacer 2, and large subunit ribosomal RNA". The stretch from base 1 to 120 matches the Rfam family "5.8S ribosomal RNA", at positions 35 to 154 of the family's 154-position model. The record is from RNAcentral.
GAUGAAGAACGUAGCGAAAUGCGAUAAGUAAUGUGAAUUGCAGAAUUCAGUGAAUCAUCGAAUCUUUGAACGCACAUUGCGCCCGGUAGUAUUCUGCCGGGCAUGCCUGUUCGAGCGUCAUUUCAACCAUCAAGCCCCAGCGCUUGUGUUGGGGGCCUGCGGCUGCCGCAGCCCCCUAAAAGCGGUGGCGGGCUCGCUAUCACACCGAGUGCAGUAGUUCAUCUUCUCUCCGGUCUUGUGAGGCGGGUUCCGGCCGUGAAACACCCCACUACAUUCAAGGUUGACCUCGGAUCAGGUAGGAAUACCCGCUGAACUUAAGCAUAUCAAUAAGCGGAGGA